UUCUUAUCUAGAGAGGUGGAGGGACUGGCCCUACGAAACCUCGGCAGCGGAACUGAUUCGUCGAAACAAUCAGAAACUGUGCCAACUCCAGCAUGUGCGUCUGCACGUGAAAGAUGAGAA
Molecule: non-coding RNA, 120 nt
Filed under: Halobacillus karajensis
Lineage: Bacteria; Bacillati; Bacillota; Bacilli; Caryophanales; Bacillaceae
Description: SAM-I sequence
Rfam family: SAM riboswitch aptamer (S box leader)
About the family: The SAM riboswitch is found upstream of a number of genes which code for proteins involved in methionine or cysteine biosynthesis in Gram-positive bacteria. The SAM riboswitch acts at the level of transcription termination control. The predicted structure consists of a complex stem-loop region followed by a single stem loop terminator region.
Source: Rfam by way of RNAcentral